Molecule: transfer RNA, 90 nt
Filed under: Candidatus Daviesbacteria bacterium RIFCSPHIGHO2_01_FULL_38_8
Lineage: Bacteria; Candidatus Daviesiibacteriota
Description: tRNA-Ser
Rfam family: tRNA
About the family: Transfer RNA (tRNA) molecules are approximately 80 nucleotides in length. Their secondary structure includes four short double-helical elements and three loops (D, anti-codon, and T loops).
Source: RNAcentral
GGAGAGGUCGCUUAGUCCGGUCUAGAGCGCGGCUUUGGAAAAGCCGUAUCCGCCUUUGGCGGAUCGAGGGUUCGAAUCCCUCCCUCUCCG